Molecule: ribosomal RNA, 253 nt
Filed under: uncultured bacterium
Lineage: Bacteria
Description: partial 16S ribosomal RNA
Rfam family: Bacterial small subunit ribosomal RNA
Source: RNAcentral
UACGUAGGGUGCAAGCGUUAAUCGGAAUUACUGGGCGUAAAGGGCGCGUAGGCGGCUUGGUCAGUCCCGUGUGAAAUCCCUCGGCUCAACUGAGGAACUGCACGGGAAACUGCCUGGCUUGAGUUCGGGAGAGGGAAGCGGAAUUCCGGGUGUAGCGGUGAAAUGCGUAGAUAUCCGGAGGAACACCGGUGGCGAAGGCGGCUUCCUGGACCGACACUGACGCUGGGGCGCGAAAGCUAGGGGAGCAAACGGG